GACGAACUCCUGCUCCCUGAGACGCUAGAAGAUUCUAAACUUAAACUUCGCUUCGCUAGAACUUUACUUAACUCACGAACGAUGUGUUUCAGGACCUGCUGCUGCUGCACAUUUGUCGUGAUUGGCUGGUUGAUCCCCAGGUGGAAGAUGAUCAGGAUGUCACUGGACAAAGAGACCCUCCUUCCUCUCGAGGCGGCCAUCACAGUCAGCCCCGCCUUCUCCUCCACUGUCAGCCUAUCAGAGCAGCCGCCACUGACUAAGACCCACCCCUUCAUCCGCCCUAAAAACGGCCUCCAGCAGCCUGCAGGUGGCCAGCCCCCCCUCCCCUCUCAGCGAAUCGGGAAGAGGCGUUACUCGACGGGCGUCGGCUUCAAGGGCCCGGCAAAGCGCCGUCGCCGUGCCAACAGUGACAGCCAAUCAGAGCCCGUUCUGCCAAGUCACUUCCUGUUGGGAGGAAAUAUCUUCGACCCCCUGAACCUGAACUCUCUGCUGGAUGAAGACGUGAACAGAGCGACCAAUCAGGAGACUCCAAAGUGCUCGCCCCUGCCUUUGCGGGGCGGAGACCCUGUAGAGAUCCUGGUUCCCUGUGACAUCACCGAUCCCCUGAACCUGAAGGGAGGUGGGGAGGAAAGGGAGGGAGCGGGGGGAGUUCUGCUGUCCCCCCUGAAGUCCAGGAAGAGGCACCGGAACCGACACCAUCGAGUCCCAGCAGACCGGGACGUGGUACCGGCCCGACUGUUCCCCCCCACAGCUGGACUCACAGUUCCCCUGUUGGCCAGAGAUGGCAGUGUUCCUGCGUCUCCUCUCCCCUGUGAACUCAACACGGCCAUCACUUGCAGAGAUGAUGUAGCCACACCCCCUAUCCUACCCAGAAGGCACACCCAUCCUCCACCUUGCCUCGCCCACAAGCCUGGGAACCAGGGUGACAGUCGUCAUCGGAGACGGCGGCGCACCACCUCAGUGAGGUCAUCAGAUGGCACUGCAGGCGCUGUCACCAUGGCAGCCACGGCUCAGCCAACCAAAUUCCAGACACCGCUGGUAGGAGGGGCUAAAGCUGGCAGGUGUGGACCACAGCCCCGCUCUGCUCGGCCACCAGAAAGGAUCAAAGACAAACAGCGCUACCAGCAUGGCAGCCAUAGCCGUUACUAUGGUUACCACGGCUUCUAUGGCGACAGGUUGGAGGGGCGAGUUGGGGAGGAGAAGGACCCUCGGAUAGGACUCCUGGAAGCUGAUUGGUUCAGAGACAAGACGGUGUUGGACGUGGGCUGCGGGGCGGGUCACAUGACCCUGACCAUAGCUCGGAUGUUCAACCCCGCCCACAUCCUGGGGGUGGAGCUCGACCAGCGGCUGGUUAAAGCCGCCAAGCAGAACAUCCGGCACUUCAUGUCACAUGACAUGGUGGUGGAGGAGAGGAAGAGGGCAAAGGUAGCGCUGCCUCCUGAUCUGCAGGGAGGGAGGGAACAGGAAGUGAUGCGGGAGGCCUUCCUGUCCCUCCCCCUGUCAUUCAGGGUGAGUCGGGGUCCUCUCUGUGCUCCUCCUCUCCUGCCUCCACGCUCCUCCUCCUCCAGGUUUCCAGACAACGUCACCUUCAUCCAGGGCGACUACGUGUCUGAGCUGGAGCCGUGGCCUGGGCGGGGUCGCUAUGAUGUCAUUAUGUGUCUGAGUGUGACCAAGUGGGUGCAGCUGCAAUCAGGUGACGGGGGCGUGGUCAGACUGUUUAGACGGGCCUAUCAGAGCUUGUCGUCGGGCGGAUUAUUCAUCCUGGAGCCGCAGGCAUGGAGCAGCUACUACCGCAGCAAGAGGGCCUCGGACACAACGUUUCGUCACUUCAGGAGUUUGAGGCUCAGACCUGAACAGUUCACCUCCUUCCUGACCGACAGCGUGGGCUUCAGCUCCUACAGAAUGCUCAAACACACAGGUAGACAGGAAGUAGACCACCCCGUGUACAGGUAGACAGGAAGUAGACUACCCCGUGUACAGGUAGACAGGAAGUAGACCACCCCAUGUACAGGUAGACAGGAAGUAGACCACCCCAUGUACAGGUAGACAGGACGUAGGCUACCCCAUGUACAGGUAGACAGGAAGUAGACCACCCCAUGUACAGGUAGACAGGACGUAGACUACCCCAUGUACAGGUAGACAGGAAGUAGACCACCCCAUGUACAGGUCGACAGGACGUAGACUACCCCAUGUACAGGUAGACAGGAAGUAGACCACCCCAUGUAAAAGGAGACAGGACGUAGGCCAUCCCAUGUACAGGUAGACAGGACGUGGACCGCCCCAUGUACAGGUAGACAGGACGUAGACUACCCCAUGUUUACUGUCUGGACUUCAUAGUGUGUUAAACCUGAAAUAGAACCAGCCUGGAUAGAAGACCACCUCUAAUGCAGUCUGCGCGAAUGGGCACAAUUUAUUACUGGAUCGUGGACCAGUAAACAGUAAUUUUUUACUCGACUGAAACAGUUUUUACUGGACCGAAUAUUUUAUGCAUACCAUACCAUGGAUUAUGGUAUUACAUACCAUAAUCCAUGAAAUAACCUACCAUACUCUCAUAGCAACAGCCAAAUCUUGCUCAGAAUCCACCCUCUCUCAUUGUACACCUGGUAAAUUACCAUCUACAUGCACUGUCACCGUCACUACACCCUCCCACACCAUGCUACCAUACCACCAUCCACUUUUACCAUUGAAUUACUCACCAUACACGUCCAAUUUGACCAGAAAAACAGCUCUCAGCUUUGUUUUGGCGCUACUUUCACACGCUCCUGCAGAAACUUGAAUUUGUACUCAGGGAUGGGAAUUUUCCGCGGAUCCGCGGAUUUCCUUUCAAGUUUGAACACUUUAUUGUCGCUGAUACUCCCGCGAGAUGGUAACGACGUUAACUAUAGCUUGCUAACGACGUUAACAAGCUGUCGUUCGAUUGUAAACGGCCCAGAAGUCGCUGCGCCGCCGCCGCACACAUCACAUCACCCACCCACCCCCGUCAACGACUUUCCGCUGGAAUCAGAACUUGCUGAUCCCAUCCCUGUGUACUUGUAACUGGAAAUCACUCUGUGCGCGCCGGGAAUCAUGACGUGAUCAUGUGACAUAACGUCAUCAUACAAAAUUGCUGUCCCCCGAUGUUGCAUUAUCCCUUGGUGAUUCUCGGCAACUUUAGGGUGAUUUACAGGAAAAAAAAUACACCAGACAUGAGACCGGUAAUGUAGUAAGUUUUACCGGACUUUUGGUACACAAAUCGGAUUUGACCGAUGGUCCGACGUCAUUGGCGCACACUGCUAAUGUAAGACCACCUCGACUAUAAGACCACCAAGCUGAAUUUAUGUGUUUUUGUCCCUGAACU
This is an RNA transcript of Acanthochromis polyacanthus (spiny chromis), 3337 nucleotides long. It is a transcript of the gene named 7SK snRNA methylphosphate capping enzyme-like, with no coding region annotated. Lineage: Eukaryota; Metazoa; Chordata; Actinopteri; Pomacentridae. The transcript is spliced from 9 exons. The record is from RefSeq and is a predicted model, not a curated record.